Molecule: long non-coding RNA, 1045 nt
Organism: Temnothorax curvispinosus
Lineage: Eukaryota; Metazoa; Arthropoda; Insecta; Hymenoptera; Formicidae
Exons: 4
Source: RefSeq, a predicted model, not a curated record
UGGCAGACGGCCCCCGGAUCCAAAUAAGGACUCGUUACGCGACAGGGACGUCGGCUGUUACCGCGGGCCUAGCGAAGGGGUGCACGGGGCGACUCACUUGCUCGAGCCAUCGCAAAGAUCCCCUCUUCUACCUUUUUGCAUCUCCGGCAAAGCCGAUGCUGAUGUCGAUUCGCAUUGUAGAGUUUCAACCCCGAAAGGGCGCAUCUUUUGUUGCUGAACACCUCUCAUCUCGUCAUCGUUACAUCCGACCGUGAUAAUCGUCAGGAUAGCUUCGGCAUGAGUGCGAAAAGGCGACCACCUCUUCAUCAGCGAAAACACCGAAGGUUUUUCAAGGUCUUGAGGAAUGAAAUUUGCAUAAUUCCUUACAAGUGGAACAUCUUAAUUAUUUCAAAGUUCGGAGUUCAAACUUGAGAAGUAACAGAAGUUAUUUGAAAAGAAAUAUUUCACACAUCUGAUGAUAGCCGAGUGAAUUUCGAAUGUUCUCCGAUAAUGUUGGUUCCCGGUGAGCGUUGCGCGAAGCCAGAAUUGACCUAGUUGCCUAAAGCGAUAGGCAAAGCGGCCCCAGCGUCGCGACGCUAUUUUCGCCCAGCGCAUCGCUAACUUUAGACGUACGGCCGUCGGACGCUCCCUAAUAAGUUCAAGCGACGAUUAUGGUGGCCGACGCUGCCGCUGCCGCCGUAGCCGACGACGACGACGGAUAAAACAUAACGUCUCGCCGCGAGGCAACGACGAGCAUGCCAAAAUUAUGCCUGCCCGAAAAGGACCAACGCGAUUGCACGGCCGAAGACCUCGACUAUGCGACUAUGAGUGCGACCACGAAGAGACGGCCGUUCGCCCCACGUUUGCGUGUAUUCGAAACUUUUACGACCGGCACCGGACGACUCAUCUUCUGCCUGUUAUUGAAAGGAAAGAUAGACAUACAAACAAAUUCAAGCGGAUACGAGCGGCUUGACGGUACGCCAAGAAUCAAUCUCAAUGGAUAACAGCAAACGCUGCGAACUUGAACUUCUUCCAAGGAUUCAGCAAUAAGUCAAAGAACUUUUAG